AAAGAGAAAAAGCAGGACAAAAGAAGCACCACUUUGGAAGCUCAAAGCCGCACUGGAAACACAGUCUUUCAGGAUGUCUGAAAGGGGCAAGUCUGUUUGUGUGGGGUAAGAAAUGCGGGGAGACAAACGGACAGUGGACAGAUUGCAGAGAGCUCUGUGUGCUGAGAGGAGGGUGCAGACCAGAUUUUUAAAUUGAGAAUGCAACAGUGAAGGAUUUCAAGCUUGGAGUGAGAGGGGAGACUACGAGCCUGCAGUGAUAAGGCAAAGCUGAAGAUUUCAGAGCCAAGGCCACACCCUACAGUUGCCAUGGAAUGGGGUGGCACAGUGGGCUUUGGAGGUAAAGUCUGCAGUUGAGAAGUUCAAGGGUAGUAAGUACUUAAUGCCAGGUCAAUCAUCCCUUUUAAGACACAGAUAUCAUCUGCAGCGUUUUCAGGAACAGUGAUAGAGAAGAAAAGCAGGCAGCUACUAGAUAUUCAAAUCUUCCACAAAUGUCAGGGAGAGAGUCAGGCAGUUGGUAGAAGAGACCUGUAAAGCUGGGUACCAUAAGCCUCAACACAGGUGUUUUUAUUUCAAGGCUGGGGAGCUGUGCUUUGGAAAAGCAAUGAGGAGGUAACAGGAAGUCUCUUCUUCUAAAUCCUGUGUUCAUGGAGGGGGGUGGGUUUUCUCCUCUUGAGAGGGAGUUACAUACAAGUUUAAGGGAAAAGAGUCUGAAGUUUCCACCUAAAUGAUUCUGAAAGAAUCAGAUAUACAGGGAGUCCACGGAGCCUCCCCUGCAAGCAUCAGUACAGAAGUCGAUGAUAAUCUGGAUGCAAGCCCAGGAGUGUGGAGUCCACUGACUCAGAAGACCUGCAUCUAAGGAAUUGGCUGUUCUUAUCCUUAAGAAUGAUGACUGUGUUUCCAAUUCCAGUAGACCCUUUGAUGCGUUCUGAAUAAAUAUUCCUUUUGGAAUUGAACUUCUAGAGCCCUUAACUUUGGCCCACUCUAGUUUUCUGUCUGUUUUUUUUUUAAAUAUUUUUUUUGUAAAGAUAAGGUCUUGCUUUGUUGCCCAGGCUGGUCUUGAAUUCCUGGACUCAAGCAAUCCACCUGCCUUGGCCUCCCAAAGUGCUGGGAUUAUAGGUGUGAACCAUUGUGUCCGAUCGCUCUCUGGUUUUUCUAAUAUCAUGAUCCCAACUCUGUUCUUUAUGUAAAUUUCCCUGAUCACAUGGUUGCAUCUUGGCAUUUCAAAAUCCUUAACAGACUUUGUUUUGUUUGAAUUUUACAAUGAACUUACAUGACUAGGCAUGGUCCCCAGUUCAGUUUUAUAGACAAGGAUUCUGUAGGUCAAGAAGUGAAACACAACCAAUAACAGCAGGUGACAGGAUUUAAACCUGGGUCACUUUACUUAUUUUUUUCUACUCUAUCAUUAUGUGAAUCUAUCCUACCUCUGCAAUGACAGAUGGCCCUAGAGCAAGAACACUUCCUUACAUCUGGUAUACAGUCAAAAAGUAAAAAUUCCACACAAAUAAAUAUGGAAAGAAUUUUUACCUGCUCCUAUAGCUUCCUUUCAGGGACCUGGAACCCACAAAUGUUGGGUAACAGAAAGAGGACUUAUGUAACUUAACUCAAAGCAGAAAAGUUACAGAGACUGUCUUAGCAUAAUAGAACAUGGAGUGGUCAUGCUUGGAUGUGCAAACUGUCUGAUAGCCUUGCACAUGGCUUGACCCCGAAUUACACUAGUGGGGCAAGUUGCCUGGGGCAAAGCAAAC
This 1745-nucleotide long non-coding RNA is filed under the name Pan troglodytes (chimpanzee). Its description in RNAcentral is "long non-coding RNA NONPTRT013454". The record is from RNAcentral. Lineage: Eukaryota; Metazoa; Chordata; Mammalia; Primates; Hominidae.